UACGUAGGGGGCCAGCGUUGCUCGGAAUUACUGGGCGUAAAGGGUUCGUAGGCGGCCACUUAAGUCAGACGUGAAAUCCCUCAGCUUAACUGGGGAACUGCGUCUGAUACUGAGUGGCUUGAGUGCAGGAGAGGAAUGCGGAAUUCCAGGUGUAGCGGUGAAAUGCGUAGAUAUCUGGAGGAACACCGGUGGCGAAGGCGGCAUUCUGGACUGUAACUGACACUGAGGAACGAAAGCCAGGGGAGCAAACGGG
This 253-nucleotide ribosomal RNA is filed under the name uncultured bacterium. RNAcentral's name for it is "partial 16S ribosomal RNA". It matches the Rfam family "Bacterial small subunit ribosomal RNA", at positions 524 to 776 of the family's 1533-position model. The record is from RNAcentral.